AUUUUGGACAAUGGGGGAAACCCUGAUCCAGCCACCCCGCGUGUAUGAUGAAGGCCUNNNGGUUGNAAAGUACUUUUGGCAGANAAANAAAGGCAUCCCCUAAUACGGGAUGCUGCUGACGGUAUCUGCAGAAUAAGCACCGGCUAACUACGUGCCAGUAGCCGCGGUAAUACGUAGGGUGCAAGCGUGAUUCGGAAUUACUGGGCUUAAAGCGUGUGUAGGCGGUUCGGAAAGAAAGAUGUGAAAUCCCAGGGCUCAACCUUGGAACUGCAUUUUUAACUGCCGAGCUAGAGUAUGUCAGAGGGGGGUAGAAUUCCACGUGUAGCAGUGAAAUGCGUAGAUAUGUGGAGGAAUACCGAUGGCGAAGGCAGCCCCCUGGGAUAAUACUGACGCUCAGACACGAAAGCGUGGGGAGCAAACAGG
RNAcentral lists this ribosomal RNA (423 nucleotides) under uncultured bacterium. Its description in RNAcentral is "partial 16S ribosomal RNA". It matches the Rfam family "Bacterial small subunit ribosomal RNA", at positions 361 to 776 of the family's 1533-position model. The record is from RNAcentral.